UACCGAGGUUUUCCUCGACAGUUAACUGCAGCCGAAUUUGAAAUUUCUCGGCAGUUAACUACCGAGGGGUAU
RNAcentral lists this microRNA precursor (72 nucleotides) under Medicago truncatula (barrel medic). RNAcentral's name for it is "MIR2629 microRNA precursor family". It matches the Rfam family "MIR2629 microRNA precursor family". The record is from Rfam by way of RNAcentral. Lineage: Eukaryota; Viridiplantae; Streptophyta; Magnoliopsida; Fabales; Fabaceae.